Molecule: long non-coding RNA, 1516 nt
Filed under: Heterocephalus glaber (naked mole-rat)
Lineage: Eukaryota; Metazoa; Chordata; Mammalia; Rodentia; Bathyergidae
Description: lncRNA (ENSHGLG00100049034.1)
Source: RNAcentral
GCAGCCACAUGGUGGCCUGGAACAGGAGCUCUGGAGAUCCCAGCAGGACGCUUCUUUGGAGAGAGGGUGUGAGCACCAGAAGGAUUAGGGGAGAUCCUGUCUCAUGCAGGCCCAGGCAGCCAUGUCACUGAGGGGAUUCCAGACAGUUCCCUCUGGAUGUCUUUGCCUGCCCCAGGGCCUUGUCCUGUCCCUUCUGGGUUCCUAAUGGGCUCUCAGAGGGUGGGCUGGGCAGUAAGUUCUUUACUCCCUUCCCCUCCCUGCAGGGCAGCCCCAGUUACUGGCCACAUGAGUGAAGCAUCUCACGGCUGGGAGGGGACAAGAGCCAGGUCCAAAUGGUCGGAGAAGUCAUGGAUGGAAGUGGGAACCCGAAGCCAGAGGAGAAGUCUUGCGCCUUCACUGGCCCAUGAGCCCCACCUGCUGCAGAAAGCACAGGGCUGGAUAAGGAAACUGCCGCUCAGACAGGACCACAGCACCCCUUAACAGGGCCUUGACAGAGUCUGGGGCAGACUGGACGCCUUAACACAUAAGCGGAGACCCCUGAUGUCCCUGCUUCCAACUGCACUCUGCACUCCAAGAAAAGAGAAAGUGAGCAGAAUGACUUGCAGACGUCUGGGCUUAGAAGAGAGAGAAGGGAGGGAAGAGAAGGUGACAUCUUGAUGUCCAUGGGGACAGCUCUGGGGCAGGGCACCUGUCUGGGUUAAGCCAUGGGGAGGCAUGAGGGUGACCAUGUAGACAGGAAAUCUGCAGUCCGAAAAUUUCCAGUACACAGCAUGGAGUAAGCCUGGAGCUAACAUUGCCUGAUCCUGGGAGCCCAGCCCAGCCCCAGCCCCCUCCACGCCAAAGCUGAUUAUUCUUAAUUAAACUGCUCCUAAGGAUUUCACAAACCCAUUUGGUCCUCAGCCCUGCCCAGCCCUGGACAUAAACAUUGUACCAGCCCUGGAAUCUAACCUUAAAUGAACGGGACAGAUAGGAACAGCUGGGAAGAGGUCUGCUUCACUCUGACAAUGAGGAAUUUCUCUAGAGCAAUCUCUUUCGUAAACAAAUAAACAAGUCCUUGCCAUGUGUAGAGAUGUUAUACUAUACAGUGCCUUCAAAUGCAUGAUCUCAUCUGAUCCUCACACAGAUUGGGAGCUGGGGGCCCAGGGAAGAGAGUCAGAGUCAGGAUUCAAGCCCAGAGCUGCAUAGUUGGAACUGAGAUUUUAAUUUUAAGCUCCCUUGGGAAAUGUUCUUAAAUGUAGAGAAUUUUAGGUUAGGAAAAGAAACUGCUCUUCCCUUCCAUGGAGCAGCAGCUUUUUGAGAGCCACACACAUCCUAAGGGACCAAGGGAGCUCAUGAUUGGACAGAAGGUUCUAGAAGCUUCUGGAUACAGCAGUGGCCAUGGAGCAAUGUGGGAAGCACUAUGAGUCCCUUGGGGUCCAGGCACCUCAGUCUGUCCCUGGGAUUCUGGCGGUAGAGACCUAGGCUAUCCCAGAGCACUGCCACACAGAAUGGCUGUGUGGUCAGAGCUGCCCUGCCC